UCCUCCGUGGCGCAAUUGGCUAGCGCGUCUGACUGUUAUCCAAGACAAUCGAUACUUUCCAAUAUAUGGGAAUUGAAGAGAAUCUGGAAAGCAAUAUACAUCAGGAGGUUCGUGGUUCGAGCCCACGCGGGGGAG
Coniella lustricola is the source of this 135-nucleotide non-coding RNA. NCBI's taxonomy places the organism in Eukaryota, Fungi, Ascomycota, Sordariomycetes, Diaporthales, Schizoparmaceae. The record is from the annotation of a GenBank genome assembly.